RNAcentral lists this ribosomal RNA (253 nucleotides) under uncultured bacterium. RNAcentral describes it as "partial 16S ribosomal RNA". It matches the Rfam family "Bacterial small subunit ribosomal RNA", at positions 524 to 776 of the family's 1533-position model. The record is from RNAcentral.
UACGUAGGUGGCAAGCGUUGUCCGGAUUUACUGGGCGUAAAGGGCGUGCAGGCGGUUUGUUAAGUCUAGGGUGAAAGCUCCCGGCUCAACUGGGAGAGGUCCUUGGAUACUGGCAGACUUGAGGAGAGUAGAGGAGAGUGGAAUUCCCGGUGUAGUGGUGAAAUGCGCAGAUAUCGGGAGGAACACCAAUGGCGAAGGCAGCUCGCUGGGACGGUACUGACGCUGAGACGCGAAAGCGUGGGGAGCGAACAGG